RNAcentral lists this ribosomal RNA (540 nucleotides) under Pantoea dispersa. RNAcentral describes it as "bacterial SSU rRNA". It matches the Rfam family "Bacterial small subunit ribosomal RNA", at positions 67 to 596 of the family's 1533-position model. The record is from RNAcentral. Lineage: Bacteria; Pseudomonadati; Pseudomonadota; Gammaproteobacteria; Enterobacterales; Erwiniaceae.
CGGCAGCACAGAAGAGCUUGCUCUUUGGGUGGCGAGUGGCGGACGGGUGAGUAAUGUCUGGGAAACUGCCCGAUGGAGGGGGAUAACUACUGGAAACGGUAGCUAAUACCGCAUAACGUCGCAAGACCAAAGUGGGGGACCUUCGGGCCUCACACCAUCGGAUGUGCCCAGAUGGGAUUAGCUAGUAGGUGGGGUAAUGGCUCACCUAGGCGACGAUCCCUAGCUGGUCUGAGAGGAUGACCAGCCACACUGGAACUGAGACACGGUCCAGACUCCUACGGGAGGCAGCAGUGGGGAAUAUUGCACAAUGGGCGCAAGCCUGAUGCAGCCAUGCCGCGUGUAUGAAGAAGGCCUUCGGGUUGUAAAGUACUUUCAGCGGGGAGGAAGGCGGUGAGGUUAAUAACCUCGCCGAUUGACGUUACCCGCAGAAGAAGCACCGGCUAACUCCGUGCCAGCAGCCGCGGUAAUACGGAGGGUGCAAGCGUUAAUCGGAAUUACUGGGCGUAAAGCGCACGCAGGCGGUCUGUUAAGUCAGAUGUG